GUUAGCGAAACGUAUGUAGAUAGUAGUGAUUGACGGGGAAAGCAUGAUAGGUCUUCGUGCAUGGUGUGGAGGUGAAUUCCAUCUAGUUAUUUUCUGUGUGAUGUUCGGAGUCUCACGAUCGUUUCGAGGCAUUCGUCAAAGGCGUUUGGGUGAGCUAUUUGAUCUUGCAACCCAAAGUCUCUCCUUAGAUUUCUGUUGUUCUCUAUCCUUAAACAGAAGUCGUAUCCAGUUUGAGUCUGUUAUCUACUUCAAAUUGUAAACUUCUUAGAAGCUCUUGUACGAGUCUAGACCAGGUUUUGGGAAUUUCUUAUAAUAAAAGUAUUUCUUCCG
Long non-coding RNA from Lycium ferocissimum, 330 nucleotides. RefSeq lists it as uncharacterized. The transcript has 2 exons. NCBI's taxonomy places the organism in Eukaryota, Viridiplantae, Streptophyta, Magnoliopsida, Solanales, Solanaceae. The record is from RefSeq and is a predicted model, not a curated record.